CGUCUUCUCAACGAUAAGGCCUAGACCAGACGGUCUUAUAAGGGGUGCCAACAGCAGCUCUGGCACAGUCGGAGUCGAUUGGUCGGGCACUACCCAGCAGGACUUUCGUACAGUGGAAAUUGGUUACGUUUGGAUUGUACCCUAAACCUAAACAGACCUCAGUCAAAUACUGUCUUCUGUCAGUGAGUGGAGAGUCAGUCUGUCGGCAUUCCAGUCCCAGGGUAGCCAAUAUCACCACACAAACCGCCACAGGAACCAGGAAAGGGUCAGACCUUGUGGAGAUAAGCAGUAAGAGGUCGAACAACCAGUGAUCACGAGGGACUACACACAGGCAGCACAAGUACAUAAUUGUGAGUGAGACUUGGGUCUGUUUGGACUGUACCCAUACCCAACCAGCCGUCAAUCAAGCAGCACGUCCUGUCAGUCGGUGGCCGGUCAGUUUUCCGUCUGUCCAGUCGGGAGUAGACAACGCCAACUUCACACCCCACAGCAGAAACCAACCGACGGUCACAUCCUCUGGGACAUUAGCAGUCGCGAGGGCGACCAACCAGCGACUACGCAGAGGCAGCGCAAAUACAUCCGAGAGGCCGAAGCUCCCAGCUGAAAGAUGGCGGAGUUCUGGCAGCAGGUCGGGCAGCUGGUCUUGAACCAGGUGAUGAACGACAUGGCGGAAUGUGCGUUCCGGAGCAUGGACUCUGACCAGGCCCGGGUGUGCAGGCUGCUCUGGAAACUCAGGACUACGGCCACCAGGAUAACUAUCACCGGGAAGCAGGUCGAAUUCUUCUUUAAACAGUUGUCUCGUUUCUUAGAAAACGACGAGCCCGACUUGGAGCAGGGACUCCAGAUGAUCGUCCAGUCGGUGGUGGUGGCGAGAAAUAUUUUUGAGGGCUACGAAGAGGUUCAGGACCUGAUAGAUGAAAUUAAGCGAGAGUGGGACCGUUACAAAGCUAGAAACAUGCUUAAGUGGGAUUAGUGAAAACUAAAAUCU
This is a long non-coding RNA of Schistocerca americana (American grasshopper), 988 nucleotides long. RefSeq lists it as uncharacterized. The transcript is spliced from 4 exons. The record is from RefSeq and is a predicted model, not a curated record. Lineage: Eukaryota; Metazoa; Arthropoda; Insecta; Orthoptera; Acrididae.